GGAAGGGUGAGAACCUUCGACUAAGGUUCGAUUCGAGCGAAAGCGAGAGAACGUUGCCGCAGGCAACGACCCGAAGGGCGAAGCGCGCAGCGCUGAGUAAUCCUUCCCCCACCACCA
Molecule: small RNA, 117 nt
Filed under: Escherichia coli
Lineage: Bacteria; Pseudomonadati; Pseudomonadota; Gammaproteobacteria; Enterobacterales; Enterobacteriaceae
Description: partial RtT sRNA
Rfam family: RtT RNA
About the family: This family represents a bacterial cis-regulatory element known as RtT RNA. The exact function of RtT is unknown although it is thought that it may be involved in changing the cellular response in relation to amino acid starvation.
Source: RNAcentral